GGGUUAAAAUUCCCGUACUUUUAUGCAGUGCGAUGUGGGGACGGAGAAGGUUAGGUCAUCAGACUGUUGGAAUAGUCUGUUUAAGCCGGUAGGCUGGGGUGGUAGGCAAAUCCGCCGCCCCUUAAGGCCGAGACGUGAUGACGAGGGUCUACGGACCUGAAGUGACUGAUACCACGCUUCCAGGAAAAGCCACUAAGCUUCAGCUGCAUAAGAACCGUACCGCAAACCGACACAGGUGGGCAGGAUGAGAAUUCUAAGGCGCUUGAGAGAACUCAGGAGAAGGAACUCGGC
This 291-nucleotide ribosomal RNA is filed under the name Aeromonas dhakensis. RNAcentral describes it as "partial 23S ribosomal RNA". It matches the Rfam family "Bacterial large subunit ribosomal RNA", at positions 1427 to 1718 of the family's 2925-position model. Lineage: Bacteria; Pseudomonadati; Pseudomonadota; Gammaproteobacteria; Aeromonadales; Aeromonadaceae. The record is from RNAcentral.